Long non-coding RNA from Lontra canadensis (Northern American river otter), 578 nucleotides. RefSeq lists it as uncharacterized. The transcript has 2 exons. The record is from RefSeq and is a predicted model, not a curated record. NCBI's taxonomy places the organism in Eukaryota, Metazoa, Chordata, Mammalia, Carnivora, Mustelidae.
CCGAGGCUACCGCGGGAACUACAAUGCCCAAAAUGCGCCAAGAUCGGACGCGCCCAGAGUGGGCCAAAGAAGCGAAGGGGUCUCGGCCGCCAUGUUAGGAGUACCGGGAACAGUCCGUGGAGCCUGGCCGAGGUUUUAGGCAGCGCGCGAGCCGAAUGGUGGUGCGGUGGGCACGAGUCUGUCUACACUAUGAAAGAUGGAAAAUUUCUUCCUGAGGGUGUCUGAAGGGUUAAAAAUACGAUAUAUAUUUUGUGUUUUUCUCCACAGUUAUUCGGAAAACAAAAUUAUUAACUUGUUACUUUGGGUCAUUAAGGAUAUGCCUUUCGUCUCUCUGUUAGUAGUUAGUAAUAUUACAGCUGAUGGAUGUAUUCUCCUAUCCGGAGAAGCUAGGCAGAGUGAUUAAAAAUAAUAAAACAUGGUAGAAAUAGUCUUUCAGAUGUAUACAGAUGAUAACUACAAAAACUUUGAAGAAUCAUCUUCUGUCCUGUUUCUGGGAACAAGUCACAAGAUGAAAGGCUUUGUUUCAUUUUUAACAGAGGUAACGUGUUGGUCUCAUUUAUCUGUGCAGUACAACAAUG